Molecule: ribosomal RNA, 539 nt
Filed under: uncultured bacterium
Lineage: Bacteria
Description: bacterial SSU rRNA
Rfam family: Bacterial small subunit ribosomal RNA
Source: RNAcentral
UGAGGAAUAUUGGUCAAUGGACGGAAGUCUGAACCAGCCAAGUAGCGUGCAGGAUGACGGCCCUAUGGGUUGUAAACUGCUUUUGUAUGGGGAUAAAGUUAGGGACGUGUCCCUAUUUGCAGGUACCAUACGAAUAAGGACCGGCUAAUUCCGUGCCAGCAGCCGCGGUAAUACGGAAGGUCCAGGCGUUAUCCGGAUUUAUUGGGUUUAAAGGGAGCGUAGGCUGGAGAUUAAGUGUGUUGUGAAAUGUAGACGCUCAACGUCUGAAUUGCAGCGCAUACUGGUUUCCUUGAGUACGCACAACGUUGGCGGAAUUCGUCGUGUAGCGGUGAAAUGCUUAGAUAUGACGAAGAACUCCGAUUGCGAAGGCAGCUGACGGGAGCGCAACUGACGCUUAAGCUCGAAGGUGCGGGUAUCAAACAGGAUUAGAUACCCUGGUAGUCCGCACAGUAAACGAUGGAUGCCCGCUGUUGGUACCUGGUAUCAGCGGCUAAGCGAAAGCAUUAAGCAUCCCACCUGGGGAGUACGCCGGCNCGGUG